This 453-nucleotide ribosomal RNA is filed under the name uncultured bacterium. RNAcentral's name for it is "bacterial SSU rRNA". It matches the Rfam family "Bacterial small subunit ribosomal RNA", at positions 340 to 786 of the family's 1533-position model. The record is from RNAcentral.
UACGGGAGGCAGCAGUGGGGAAUAUUGCACAAUGGGCGCAAGCCUGAUGCAGCCAUGCCGCGUGUAUGAAGAAGGCCUUCGGGUUGUAAAGUACUUUCAGUCGUGAGGAAGGUGUUAAGGUUAAUAACCUUAGCAAUUGACGUUAGCGACAGAAGAAGCACCGGCUAACUCCGUGCCAGCAGCCGCGGUAAUACGGAGGGUGCGAGUGUUAAUCGGAAUUACUGGGCGUAAAGGGCACGCAGGCGGUUAAUUAAGUUGGAUGUGAAAUCCCCGGGCUUAACCUGGGAAUGGCAUUCAAGACUGGUUAGCUAGAGUCUUGUAGAGGGGGUAGAAUUCCAUGUGUAGCGGUGAAAUGCGUAGAGAUGUGGAGGAAUACCGGUGGCGAAGGCGGCCCCUGGACAAAGACUGACGCUCAUGUGCGAAAGCGUGGGGAGCAAACAGGGAUUAGAUACC